This 29-nucleotide non-coding RNA is filed under the name Homo sapiens (human). Lineage: Eukaryota; Metazoa; Chordata; Mammalia; Primates; Hominidae. The record is from RNAcentral.
UAAGCUUGGAAUUGAGUUUGGGACUAAAA